ACUGCUGACUGACUGUUCUUUCUUCAAGUUAGUUUUCAGAAAUAAGAUAUGUACUGCAGAUGCUCUCUGUGUGAUGGGAGAGGAAAAUUACAUAGGUAUAAAUCUGACAAAACCAUUGAUUAUCAGAUAUUUCAAGUAUAAGGUAUCACAAAGGAAGGAUUAGAUCUCUUGUUAAGGUACUUGAAUGGCAUACCUAGUUAUUUAAGAUAAACAUUGCAUGUCUUGACCAUUCUUUUAUAUUAUAGAAUAGUGAGCUGUGAUCAACAAACCCUUUCUACACUUGCUUUGUCUGUGGGAAGCACUCUCAGUACCACACAUCACCAUAGGACCCAAGUGUUGGAGAAUAAAUACUAAUUAGAUGAAUCCCAGGAAGUUCAAAUCUAAUCCUUAUGCUGCUGUAUGUGUUCCCUAUGUCAUGUAGACAACUAAAUGAAGGAUUUAUCAAUAUCCUCUCAAUCUAUUUCGGCACAAGAUUUGCUUCGCAGCAAUGUCAGAGCCUUUGGCAGAAAAUGUAGAGUUGGUAUUCCUCCUUUCACCUGAGCAUUUAUCCAGCAUCAUUUACUGAUUUUUUUUUCUUUCUGUUUUCUAGCAAGGGAUUUUCCGUGUUUCCAGCUUCUACACCAUUUGUGGUAUUCUAUGUGGGUUUUUUUUGUUUUGUUUUGUUUUGUUUUGUUUUGUUUUGUUUUUUCUAUUUGAUGCUUCUGGGCUGCGUGCUGAAAGCUGUAACAGAAAGAGUCCUAUGUGAAAGCCUCUGAACUCUUCUGAGCCACAGGAGGAUGAAGACAGCCUGCAAUAAGAGCUGCCUGAGAAAAUCUAACAGACAUGAUUUUAUUGGUGAAUAGCUGUGAGUUAUUGAUGACUGGAUAAUAAGGCAGACAAUGAGCUCACUGAUGUUAAGAAAUUUAUCCUGCAGAAUACGGGAGAGUUUAACUCCAUUUCCCUAGUGGGAAAAAUGAGGCAAGUAAGGCUUCAAAGUAAAUGCUAACACUUUUGUCUAUUUUGGAAGUAACAUUCCUCCAAAAAGUCAGCCUCAUAUUUUCCUCUGCUGGAUAAUCUGUCAUAAGUCUUCUGACUGACAUGGCUGAAAUGUGAACAUUAAUGGCCUUAAUCCCAGGCUGAUUUAUGCCAGAGUACAUCAAAUACCUGCCUGAGACCACUGUGUUCUUGAACUGAAGCAAGGUGUCAGGAAUGUAUUUCAUAGCAUCUAAAAGGGCACUGAAUGCUCAUAAUUUGGCAAACAGAUUCUGUCUGUGGUAUCCUAAUUGAGAACCACACACCCACACCCCCCCUCCCCCCGAGGAAGAAAAUGAGGACAAUUAUACUCAACAAGCUAGGCAACAGAAUUUAUCAAUGAAACUUUGGUAUGGGUUUUUUCACAAGAAACUGGUAUGGGAAGAAAACUGCCAUGGGAAGAAAAGCAGUCUCCCAUUUGAAGGUGCUGCUUCAAGUGUUAACCCUGCUAUGGUGGUUUGUGAAAUUUUGUUUGCAGAAUACACAAGGGCUUUCAUGAAAAGACUUAUACUUUAUGCUUCUCCUCUGCAAAUGAGCAGUCAAACCAUUGGCCAAAAAAUGCUGUUUUCUUCUGCACCCAAAAGGGUUCCCUGACGCCUGUAAACAGGCCUGGGUCUCUCUGCUAAUCCAUUUUGAGUUUUAUUGAUUCUUCCUUAUGUUUGAAUGGGAACCAGAAAUUUUCUUUUUCCAGUGACUUUUCUUGAAUUACAUUGUGUUUUAUACCUCUGGGGCUUAAGAACUGCUUCAUUUACCAGUAUCAGGUAAUUGCUACUGCAGCAAUUUGGUACCGUAGAAAUGAGCAGCUGGAAGGUAUUGAUGUCUUGAUAAAAGGUUGUUAUUUGUGUUAAUUUUCCCUCCCUCAUUUUCAUUUUUGGCCAGCCAAACUUGGUAUCAUUUGCUGUUGUUAAUGGUUAUGUUACCUGAAGCUGUUAUGGAAGUCCAUGCCAAGUGCAUCCCAAUGAAUUGAGGAGUAAUGUUGUUUUAAUUUUAACUCCAAUUAUAUCCAGGAAGAUUAAUUGUUGGGGGCAAAUCCUUACGUGGGGCCAAAAGGGAGUUAUAAAUCAUUCAGUUAGAUUAUCAGAUAAUUUUCAAGCUCCUGUGGGUUUCAGAAAAUGGACAAGAAUAGCUUAAACCUGUCUCUUUCACAAAGAACUAGUAGCUUUUGAUAAAUUAGAAUCUGUCUUUUUCCUCUCUCCAGUGAUCUCUCUGGAUGUGGGUGAAAUGUCCACUAGUGCUAAUUUAAUUGCAAGUGGAACCCUCUGCUGCCUGCAAGUAAUUCACAUUUUUCAGAAGCAGAUAAUGGCAAUAGUAAAAGUGCCUCCUUGCUAUCAGGUCAUUUUAUUUUUAAGUCAAUGACAAUGGAACUAUUAUGUACCAGUUGAUGAGAACUUAAUUUGUUUAAGUAUAGAAGGGGAUUUAUUAGCAGUAAUAUGUUAGCAUUACCAUGGACCUCUAGCUCCUACAUAUGCAUUAGACAAUUUCACCUAAUCUAAGAAAAUGUAAACUAAUCUAGCUAGAUGCAUAAGUAUGGACCUCAUUUUCCUUUCAUGGAGACAAGAGAUAAUUAGAAGACACUUACCAGACCUAAAGCAGAGUAACUUAGCUGAGAAUCAGAUCUCUUAUCUUCCAUGUAAUCUGAAUAUUCCACUAUAUGAUCAUGAUUCUAAGGAUAGUUCAGGUCAUGAAAGAUGACUAAUUGCAUCCAUGAAAGUGAACUCUCCCCCUUUAGCAAGGCAUGCAUCUGUGUCAGCCAGAGCAUCUGUGACUCAGACCCUCUCUAUUACUGCACAAAUUACUCAUUUCCCCUCAUGUAAAUAGAUAUGAACUAGAAGGAACCCAGAAAUACCUAGAAAAGUCAGGAUGGUCAGGCCCUUCUAGUUUUUCAGGGCUGCUCCUCUCUGUCUCCCUGUCCCAGAGUGGGCCUUUCCCUGGGCUGCAGUCCUCCAGGGAGAACAUGCUCCAGUUGGGACCAGGCUGCGCCCAGCAUUUGGAACAGGUUGAAUACUCCUGCGGUGGUGAAAAACUGUUGUCUCUUCUUGUUCAUGCAAGAGGUAUUUUGAAAGUUUGGCUUGGUUUUUAUCCCUUUCUAAAAUUUUUUUUCUAAACUGGGACUAGAGUUCUUCUAACCUUCCUUGAGGUUUUUUGUUUUUGUUUUUUUUUUUUUUUUUUGUUGUUGUU
Long non-coding RNA from Prinia subflava (tawny-flanked prinia), 3189 nucleotides. RefSeq lists it as uncharacterized. The transcript is spliced from 3 exons. The record is from RefSeq and is a predicted model, not a curated record. NCBI's taxonomy places the organism in Eukaryota, Metazoa, Chordata, Aves, Passeriformes, Cisticolidae.